This 79-nucleotide ribosomal RNA is filed under the name Crustomastix stigmatica. Its description in RNAcentral is "partial Bacterial large subunit ribosomal RNA". The record is from RNAcentral. Lineage: Eukaryota; Viridiplantae; Chlorophyta; Mamiellophyceae; Dolichomastigales; Crustomastigaceae.
AAAAUCUGUUUGAAUAAAGGGGAACCUUCCUCUAAGGCUAAAUAUGAUAUAUAAGCGACAGUGAACUAGUACCGAGAGG